This 253-nucleotide ribosomal RNA is filed under the name uncultured bacterium. Its description in RNAcentral is "partial 16S ribosomal RNA". It matches the Rfam family "Bacterial small subunit ribosomal RNA", at positions 524 to 776 of the family's 1533-position model. The record is from RNAcentral.
UACAGAGGUGGCAAGCGUUGUUCGGAAUUACUGGGCGUAAAGGGCGCGUAGGCGGUCCUGUAAGUCUUGUGUGAAAUCCCUCGGCUUAACUGAGGAACUGCACAGGAUACUGCGAGACUUGAGUUCGGGAGAGGGAAGCGGAAUUCCGGGUGUAGCGGUGAAAUGCGUAGAUAUCUGGAGGAACACCGGUGGCGAAGGCGGCAUCCUGGACCGACACUGACGCUGAGGCGCGAAAGCUAGGGUAGCAAACGGG